AAUGAACGCUGGCGGUAGGCUUAACACAUGCAAGUCGGACGGAAACAGCAUAACUGAAGCUUCGGUGGACGUUAUGGAUGUCGAGUGGCGGACGGGUGAGUAAUGCCUGGGAAUCUACCCUAAUGUUGGGGAUAACAUAUGGAAACGUAUGCUAAUACCGAAUAUGAUCUACGGAUUAAAGGUGCCCUCUCCUUGGAAGGUAUCGCAUUAGGAUGAGCCCAGGUGAGAUUAGCUAGUUGGUGAGGUAAAGGCUCACCAAGGCGACGAUCUCUAGCUGGUUUGAGAGGAUGAUCAGCCACACUGGGACUGAGACACGGCCCAGACUCCUACGGGAGGCAGCAGUGGGGAAUAUUGCACAAUGAGCGAAAGCUUGAUGCAGCCAUACCGCGUGUGUGAAGAAGGCCCGAGGGUUGUAAAGCACUUUCAAUUGUGAGGAAGAUAGUGUAGUUAAUACCUGCAUUAUUUGACGUUAACUUUAGAAGAAGCACCGGCUAACUCUGUGCCAGCAGCCGCGGUAAUACAGAGGGUGCAAGCGUUAUUCGGAAUUACUGGGCGUAAAGCGCGCGUAGGCGGAAUAUUAAGUCAGUUGUGAAAGCCCUGGGCUCAACCUGGGAACUGCUUCUGAUACUGGUAUUCUAGAGUUUAGUAGAGGGAAGGGGAAUUCCUAGUGUAGCAGUGAAAUGCGUAGAUAUUAGGAGGAACAUCAGUGGCGAAGGCGCCUUCCUGGACUAAAACUGACGCUGAGGUGCGAAAGCGUGGGUAGCGAACGGGAUUAGGUACCCCGGUAGUCCACGCCGUAAACGAUGUCAACUAGUUGUUGGUCUUAUUAAAAAGAUUAGUAACGCAGCUAACGCGAUAAGUUGACCGCCUGGGGAGUACGGNCGCAAGAUUA
This 892-nucleotide ribosomal RNA is filed under the name uncultured bacterium. RNAcentral describes it as "bacterial SSU rRNA". It matches the Rfam family "Bacterial small subunit ribosomal RNA", at positions 28 to 896 of the family's 1533-position model. The record is from RNAcentral.